This 21183-nucleotide long non-coding RNA is filed under the name Triticum aestivum (bread wheat). RNAcentral's name for it is "long non-coding RNA (TAES_LNC019777)". The record is from RNAcentral. Lineage: Eukaryota; Viridiplantae; Streptophyta; Magnoliopsida; Poales; Poaceae.
UUUUUCCACAAACAAGCACAAAUGUGGGGUAAAUAUUCAUCCAUCGGGUAACAGAAAAAACUAUCUCUCAGUUUAUAUGUAAAACUCUCCUCUACACUCACUUAUCUCGCAACGAAGUUGUAGAAACUUGCUAAGAGCUGACUGUGGAAACCAUUUCAUAUUCACUAAUGGCUUCCCGUUCAUCAAGCAGAGGAAGAAGGCGCCCCCGAGCCACCGCAGAAAAAACACGAGCGCUGCCACCUACCAAAUACACCUAUGAUUCCCCUUCUUUGUUAAGGAGAUUUGAAUUAUUAUUCUGUAGCUUUCAAAACAAAUAAGUGGAGAGCAAAAAUGUAUAAUUCUGAACGCUGAACAAGGAAGCUCCUCAUUCCUGAUAUGACACUGAUUAUUCAUGGGCUGAUGUUCCAUGAUCUGUUUUCUCUUAUUCAUCAUUUGUAAAGUUCGUAUUGCCUACCUACACGAGGACAAACCAGCACAAAAAGUUCAUAUUUUGUUUAAGAUCUCAUAUGCUCUUACCUACUCAAGGACCAAGCGUGUAACAAGGAAUUCUAGUUAUUGGCCUAAUGGAGAACCAACGAUAUGAUGUCAUUACCUCUACCAUGUAACCAAUUCUGCUCUUCUUCUAUAAAGAGCAGGCCUUCCCUAAGCCAAACAUGAAUAGCUCUUCAUCUGAUUUCUCUAGUGAAAUUGGUUAUUCCUAUUUCAUGCAUUAUUUAUUUGGUAUCUGCACACUACGGAUUAGAAUCUGAUAGGUGUAGGCAUGGGAGGCACCAGGAGCUAUAGAUGAUCGAUGGGUAACAAUAAUUGCUACAGUACACAGCCCUUAUGCCUCUCACCCGGACUUCACCACACGGCCCUCACGUCUCCCACUUCUACCCCACCACAUCUGAACUAUUUUUCACGUGGUCAUUGACUGGUGAUAUGUGGACCGGCUAGGUGAAAAGUUAAUUCAGGUAAAAUCUAUGUAUUCCGGGGUGGCGGCGCGGCACGGGGCAUCUGGAACUGGAAUGAUGGCAGCGGGCGACGAGGCAGCUGCGAGGUGAAGGUUCAUUGUGUUGCGUUCGCAUGGCAGCCAUAGUCAGAGGAGAUGUAUAUCUAUAUCAUCUGUGGCAAAAAAAAUGCCACAAACAAGCGCAAAUGUAAGGUAAAUAUCAAUCAGUCUGCCUGUGCUUGCUAUCACCCUGAGUUUUUGUCAUCUAUCACCAAAGCUACUUGUCAAAGAAAAUGCAGUUUCAGUUACCGCUCCCAGAUGAUGCAAAGUACUCCCUCCGCCCUACAAUAUAAGAGCGUUUUUGACACUACACUAGUAUAAAAAAAAGCUCGUAUAUUAUGGGACAGAGGGAGUAGGUGCGUGCGUAGUGCCACGGACGUCGGCAUUCUGUAUGAAGUUGCCCAUGACCAUGCGCAUGUCGUGCCUGGCGUCAUCGACCGAUAGCCAGCUAGCCCGCCCCCAAUGACUUUGUUGUUGCGUCUGCACGCGUCGGCGAUCGCCUUGUCAUCAUCAGAGGUUCCAAGUCUGUCUCUGAAAGAAUUCCAAGGUGCAGCAGUGUUCCUGCCAUCUUCAGAUUUCAAGGAUGGAAUGUAGUUUUGUUUAUAGUUUUGAGAUGCCACUGCAUGGAUUUUCUUUGUAUUUUCAUCCCAUACAUUAGCCAAUCUCAUAUCAACUAUUUUUCUCUGGUACAACCGCUUGGCUUCAAGCAGUUUACUAGUGUGGCAGGUAAGUGCUUUCUUUUGAUCUUCAAGCUACAUUGAUCAAUUGAUUUACUGAUCUGAGAAAGGUUCUUGCUCCAUCUUUUGAGCCAUCUUCUGGUGGCCUUAUACGUGGCAACAAUGUCCUGGGCAGGAUGGCUAUACAAGGCGGCAUUGUUCGUUCCAGUUAGUUUCGUCAUCAAUGUCAAGGAAACCAAUUGCAGCCACACAGUCAUGCAGAAUGGGUAGAGUAAUUGAGAUGCUCGUGGUAGUUAUUAGUAGUAAAAUUUGCAAAGCUUGUUUUUCAUGUCUCUCCCUAUCACACUUUUUUCUCUUUUCUUUUUAUUUAGUUUUCUUCUUCUUUUUUGUAUCAUUUUUCUCAUGUGUGUAUCUAGUCUGCUUUUGCUUUACUGUGUGUUAUUAGUAGUAAAAUGUGUCAAUUCUACUCUACUGGGAACGAGAAGUAGCACGCAAGGCCGAGUCAGGUGGGCCUCGGCCUAAGAUGUCGACGUCGUGGACAAUCAUGGCGUCGACAAUGAGGGAUCGGACGAGAACUUGCCGGAUGCGAGGCACGGGAGAUAGGGGAGAGAAAUCAGGUUGGGUGCAAUCUCCUAAAUAAAUGAUGAGGCAAAUUUUAUGCCUCCGUUUUGAAAAAAAAAAGAUGGUUGGAUGCAAUCGACUCAAACUGUGCUCUGUUCGUUCUAAUCCUAAAAACGGUUGGAGGAAGAAGAAACAUAUCUGGUCAUUGUUUUCUGAUCCAAUGAUUAAAAUGCAAUUGAUAGAAAUUGGAAAACAAUUAAGUCGCAUCAGGUUUAGGCGGUCCUUUUUAAUUAGCCGUUGCACAUCAUAAAAUUCUAGAAUAAUUGUGAAAGGUGGUCGUGACUAUGCUAGUUUAAACAAUUAUUCAAAUUUAGACAAUGAGGAGAAGGGGAAUCUUUUGAGAUUUUUCAUGAAGUUCAGUCUAGAAAAUAAUAAUGAAGAGGACGUCCUCGAGGUGAAACUUAUGACCGAUUUAUCUCCCCAAGAGACAUGAAUGGUAUAAUUAACACAUUGAGUUAGAAAAUACUAGUAUCAAUUAGGCGAAUUUGUACCUCUUUUCUCUUGGCUAAUUGCAUCAUCUUAGUGUAGAGACCGGGGAUCAAUACUUCCAAAAUAAACUUAUGAAAUGUAGUGUUUGUUUAAAGCUUUUGUAACCAACUAGACUGACCUAGCCGAUGACAAACAAGCGCAGGGCAUUGAUCUUUUGUUUCAAGUUCUCAUUGUAUCUGACAUACCCGGGGAGAAACAAACACAACAAAUUUGGUUCUUACCUACUCAAGGACCGAGCUCAUAACUAAGGAAUUCCUAGCUAUUAAAGUGAUGGAAACCCAAUGACUUCAUGUCACUACCUCUACCAUGCAUCCAAGUCUUUUAUAUGGAGUGAGCCUUCCCAAAGCCGAAGAUGAAUAGCCUAUUCCUCGUCUUAUUUCUUUAUAGUGGAAUUACUGAUUCCUAUUUCGUGCAUUAUUUGUGUCAUAUUUGUACGCUAGGGACUGGAAUAAUGUGGGUAUAGGCAUAGGAGCCACCAGGAACUAUCGAUGAUCAGCGGAAUAUGAAAACAACAACUCAACAAAGCCCCGCUGCAUCUUCCUCCAACUCUACCAUACCAGCUAUUUCCCAACCGGUCACUGACUGAUGACAAGUGUACUGCCUGGAUCCACCUAGUGCAGAUUCUUGAUGAUUAUUUGACAAAGGAUCUUCUAAGCAAGUCUCGGUUGAAUCUUCAUUCUUCUGGUCUUUUUUUUUUCUUUUGAGACCUAUAUAUACUGACGCAUUUUCUUUUGAGACAAAAAUGCGUUAGUCGAUUCUUCUAGGAACGAGAAGUGGUAGACAAGGUCGAGUCGGGUGUGUCUGGGCCUGAGAUGUGGACAUUGUGGACUGUCACGGUGUCGCCAUUGAGGGAUCAGACGGGAACUUGUCAGAGGCGAGGCACGGGAGAUUGGGUAGAGAAAUCAGGUUGGAUGCAAUCGACUCAAACUGUGCUCUGUUUGCUCUAAUCCAGAAAAGGUUGGAGGAACAAGAAACAUAUCAGGUCGUUUGUUUUCUGAUCAAACAGCUUGAAUGCAAUCGAUUGAAAUUGGAAAAAAAUUAAGUCGCCUCAGGCUUAUGCAAUCCUUUUUUGUUAGCCCUUGCUCAUCCGAUAAUCCUAGAGCAAUCAUGAAAGGUGGUGCAGGCGGGGCAGUUCAAACAAUUAUUCAAAUUUGGACAAUGAGGAGAAGGGGAAUAUUUUGAGAUUUUUCCUAAAGUUCAAUCUGCAAAAUAAUAAUCAAGAAGAUGUCCUCGAGGUGAAACUUAUGGCUGAUUUAUCUGGCCAAGAGACAUGGACGGUCAAGUUAACACAUUGAGUAAGAAAAUACUAUCAAUUAGGCGACUUUGUACCUCUUUUCUCUUGACUAAUUGCAUCAUAUUGGUGUAGAGACUGAAGAUCAAUACUUAUAAAAUAAACUUAUGAAACGUAGUGUUUGUCUAAAGCUCUUGUACCCUAAUAGACUGACCUGACAAACAAGUUCAGGGCAUUGAUCUUUUGUUUGAAGUUCUCAUUGUAUCUGACCUACCCGGGGAGAAACAAAUACAAGAAAUUUGGUUCGUACCUACUCCGGGAUCAAGCUUAUAACCAAGGAAUUCUUAGCUAUUAAAGUGACGGAAAACCAAUGACUUCAUGUCAGUACCUCUACCAUGCACCCAACUCUCUUAUAUACAGUGAGCCUUCCGAAAGCCAAAGAUGAAUAGCUUAUUCCUUGUCUUAUUUCUCGGUAGUGGAAUUAUUCCGUGCAUUAUUUGUUUCAUAUAUCUGCACGCUAGGGACUGGAAUAUUGUGGGUGUAGGCAUAGUAGGCACCAGGAACUAUCGAUGAUCAACGGAUAAUCAAAACAGCAACACGACACAGCCCCUCUGCAUCUUCCUCCUACUCUACCAUACCAGCUAUUCCCCCAACCGGUCACUAACUGAUGACAAGUGUACUGCCUGGAUCCACCUAGUGCAGUUGAAUCUUCAUUCUUCUGGUCUUUUUUCUUUUCUUUUCAAAACCUAUAUAUCCGACUUAGUGAAUGUUAAAUGUAACUUUUGCACUAAAUUUAUUUGAAAGCUCAACAUUCCCUUUAAAAAUCUGUAUACCGUAUCUACGUCGAGGAGUGGCUUUAACAAAUAGGACAAGCUAAAAUUACAAUGGUAGUAAGAUAAUGCAGGUUUGGCGAUCAAGAUGGAAAUACUAUACAUUUGUUUUUAUCUUCCCAUUUGCACGCUUUUUACGUUGGACUAUUUAAAACCGUCGCAAUGACAUUAUCCAAACCAAUGCAUAUGUAGAGCUGAAUAGGCAUCCCAGAUGGACCAACGAGUCAGAAACUAUGGAUGGGUAGGAAAACAGUAGACAGACAGACAGUUCUCAGGUGCAUACACUACACAAACACACGACGCGGAGCUCAUAGCAAGAACAGGUUCCAACUAAUUCGCAGGCAGAAAUCCACCUGGGCUAGCUAGCCCUGACUGAAUACCAGAAUAACAAGGAGGGUAAACCAUAGACCGAAUUAUGGCAAUAGGAAAAGGAAUCAACGAUUCCACAAACUAUGGAUGGGUAGGAAAACAGUAAACAGAGAGACAGGUCUCGGAUGCAUACGCUACACAGCAAACACACGAAAACACAGAGCUCACAUAAAGAGCGGAUGCACAGAUUAAUUCCAACGAAUUCGCAGACAGAAAUCCACCUUUUUUUUUGAAACGAAGACGCUAGACGCGUCCGGCUUUAAAUUAAUAAAGCCCUCAGGCACCAGUUCAGCAGGAUUCAACCCAUAGAAACAGAAAACAAGUUCAGUCCACGAGGACGACGAAACGACAUAAAGGUUCCACGCGAAGGCAACUGAACAACAUACAGCUCAUCCAACGCAAAGACCUAACUAGCAUGAAACCAUCUCCGAAGGCACCAAAAGGAUCAUCGAGUCGUCGUGUCUUGUCUAGCCAUCACCUGGAUAGUCUUGAUACGCGCCAUGGCCUCCGACAUACGCUCAGCAUCGCGCUCCUUCCCCAGCGGAGUCCAUGUCUGUAAGAAAAGGUGACAUUUGAAGAUCACAUCCGCAGGGUGGUUAGGGAAUAUUUUCUCAAUCGUAAAUUUAUUGCGCGUCGUCCAAAUAGCCCAAAGAAGCGCCCCUACGCAACGCCAAGCGAUUCUACUACUGGUCCCUCUCGUGGUUUUAAGGAUGGCAAUCAAGUCGUUCCCCGAGGCUGGGUUCCAGUUCGAGUGGAAGGCUUCCCUAACUGCGCUCCACGCGAACCUGGCUAGGUGACAUCUAAAAAAGACGUGAUUAGCAUCUUCACCUAGACCGCAGACAGUGCAGGUACCGUCCGCCGGACCGUUACGUUUUGCCACAUUGUCCGACGUGGGCAGCCUAUUCCUGAGCAUUUGCCACAUGAAGAUUUUAAUUUUCAAGGGCAGGCCUGCCUUCCACAGCCCCCUAGCUAUAUCAAGUGCUGUCCCUUCAGUAAGCUUGUUGUAUAAGGAUUUAACCGAGAAUUUCCGGGACGCUGUCAAGCUCCAUUCGACUAAAUCGUCGCCCAGCCCUAUCCGGUUGACACCCAUUUGAUGUACGAGGUCGUCCCAUGCCUCCCGUUCGGCAUUGGAAAGGGCCCUCAUAAAAUGUAUCGCUGGAGGGUCAGAACAGGCUGCCUCUCCCACUAGGAUGUUGCUGUCUGUGGCGAUCCGAAAGAGAUUGGGGUGACUUUGCCAAAGGGGAGAGGCUCCCAGCCAAUGGUCCAGCCAAAAGCGAGUGGAUUGACCAUUCUGGAUGUGGAAUUUGGCCCCGAUAGCAAAAGCUGGACGGACCGCUUGGAUCCCUUUCCAAAACACGGAUCCGCUAGCCGGGGCACUGAAAGGAUUCCCAUUUGGGAAAUACUUAGCCUUUAGCAGCUGAGCCCAAAGACUCGACUCGUUUUGGGCGAGCCGCCACCACCAUUUGGACAGUAGGGCUACGUUCAUAAGUUUGGAGUUUAGGAUCCCUAAACCUCCAAAUUUUUUUGGCCUACAGACAGCCGCCCACUUUACCAGGUGGUAUUUCCGCUUGAUACCAGUUCCUUCCCAAAAGAACCGGGAGCGCGGUGUAUCUAGCUUAGCGUGCACUCCAUCAGCUAAUAAGAACAUCCCCAUAGUGAAUAGGGGUAAGGAGGAGAGGCUCGAGUUAGUCAAAAUGAGCCUAGCCGCAGAAGACAUAAAACGCCCUCGCCACGGGCUAACCCUAUUGGCCACCUUCCCAUACAGCGGCUCCCACUCAGAAAUCGAUAAUUUGCGAUGGGAUAUAGGGAGCCCCAAAUACUUAAUUGGAAAGCUCCCAAGCUUGCAAUUAAGUAGAUUUGCGGCACGCCGACUUUGCUGGUCGUUCAUCCCCAUGGUGAUGACCUCGCUUUUGAGAAAAUUUAUUUUGAGUCCGGACAGGAUCUCAAAGGCUAAUAUCAAGAGCUUAAUCGAGGCGAUACUAUGAUCGUCGGGUUUAAACAGAAGCAAGGUAUCGUCUGCAUAUUGUAAAUGGGUCACACCGCCCGGGAUGAGGUGAGGAACGAGUCCCUUAACGUGACCAGCCACGCUGGCCUUGGACAACAUUGCUGCCAAAGCGUCUGCUACAAAAUUGAAGACGAGUGGGGAGAUGGGAUCGCCCUGUCUUAACCCUUUCCUAUUACGGAAAAACUUCCCCAUCUCGCCAUUGACAAUAACCGAGGUGUUGCCACUAGUGAUCAGAUGCAUGAUCCUGUGAACGAAACCCGCCUCAAAUCCCUUUUUGAGGAGGACUUCCCGCACAAACUCCCAGUUUACGCGGUCGUACGCUUUCUCAAAAUCGAGCUUGAGGAUAACGCCCUGUCCACGAGUACGUUUUAACUCAUGGAUUAUCUCCAUUAGCGCGAUAGGCCCUUCUAGAAUGUUUCUACCCUUAAGGAAAGCGGUCUGGCUCUUAUGGAUAACUCGUUGGGCCACCGGCGCUAACCUAGAGGCAUAGGCUUUGGCACAUAACUUGAAGGGAACAUUUAGGAGCAUGAUCGGACGGAACAGCUUGAUUGUAUCCGCCCCUUUGACCUUGGGAAUCAAACAGAUCGCCCCAUAGUUAAGUCUCGAGAGGUCAACCGUACCUAGGGCGAAACCAUUAAUAAUGGCUUGGAAGAGGUUUCUAAGUAAAGGCCAGAACUUUUUGAAGAACUCUACCGGCCAGCCAUCCGGACCUGGAGCCGUGUCGUUCUUCAUGCCUGCUAGCGCUAGGUCAAUCUCUUGUGGCGAGAAGGACAACAUGAGUGCAUCGUUUUCCUGCUGAGACACCCUCUCCCCCGGGCCCCAUAAGUCUUCCCUAAGACUUAAGACUUUCUCUUCGGCUGUUCCCAACAGCUCGACAAAGAAAUCAAAGAUGUGUUUAACUAUUUCAGAAUGGGCCACUAGGGUUCCAUGCUCCGACUGAAGUCUUAGGAUGGUACUCUUGCGUUUACGGCCAUUGGCGAAAGCCUGGAAGUAGCCAGUGUUGGCAUCACCUUUCACGACCCACUUGACGCCGCCCCUGCGUCGCCAGUAUUCCUCCUCUGCUCUAAGGAUAGCAAAGACCUGGUUUUCAAGAGAGUAGCGGUGCUCCCAUUCGUCGCCAGAGAAGGGUCUGGCAUCCGCCUGCGCGUCUAAGCUCGCGAUUUCUUCCACGAUGCGUUCCCUUUCCCUUUUGGACUCGCUGCCAUGGUUGGCCCCCCAUCCCCUGAGGAAAGCCCGCAGAGCCGCAGCCGCAGAGGACCAGAACUCUACUGGUCCUCUUUGACAUCCCACCUGGUCUCCAAUCAAGGCCCAGCGAGUCGUGACCAACUGACAGAAGCCCUCGUGUUCAAACCACGCCGUCUCGAAGAAAAAUCUACGGCUACGACGCCUACUGUCCUCCCCUGACGAAAGAAUAAGAGGUACAUGGUCUGAACCAAUACGCGUCUCGGCCACUAAGGUACAAAGGGGGAACAGGGCCUCCCAAUCGCUAGAACAAAAGACACGGUCGAGAACACAACGCACUGGAACCCGCUGUUUGUUAGUCCAAGUGUAUCUUGCACCUGUCCGCGCAAUUUCCCUAAGAGCCGCGGCUGCUAUCGCAUUGUUGAAAAGGAACACCCUAGCCCAGUCAAUGUUGCUGUUACUCUUGUCCGCCCCCGAGCGAAUCAAGUUGAAAUCCCCGCCCACAACGACGGGCAAGUUGGCCGCACGCUUGGCCCCGACCAAGGUUGUGAUUUCCCCCAAGAAAUCUGCCGACCUCGCGUGGUCCGCCGGCCCGUAGACGCUGACAAUUACCCAAGUAGCCAUGGAAACCCGGUGACGAACAGUAGCUGCAAUAAAGAAAAGACCCGGUUCCCACGCAAUAACAUCACAAAUAUCUCUAUUACAACCCAUCAGCUGGCCUCCAGAAUGCCCCAUGGAAGGGGUCCAGAACCAAUCAAAACGCUGCAAAGGAUCAAACGCCACUAAAUCCCUAAACGAGAAAUCAGCCUUAAUAGUCUCUUGGAGCGCAACAAAAUCAAUGAGUUAUUUAGACAUAUACUCUCUGAGCUGCGUACGCCGCCCCCCAUGGCCGCAUCCGCGAAUGUUCCAGAAUAUGUAUCUCAUCAGAUAACCCUAUUAUGCAGGCGAACUCCUCGGGAGCUCACCGCCUUGGCCACACGCUUCCUUGCCGGCGCUCGGCUGGAAGAAGGCAAGUCCGAGGCCACCCCGGCCUCGUCUUCCUCGGUGGGCAAAACUACUGCACCAGCCCCUACUGGUAUCGCAGCUUGACCGUCCGCGGGCUGCACGGCCACACAACGGGCGGCAGCAGCCGCCAGAGCGGCCUGAGCAUCCUCACGCGCGCGAACUAAGGGAAUGAUAUCCAAAGGCGAGGAAUCUAGUGCAACGCCACUAUCGUGAAGAAUCUCAGCUAGAUGAACAUCAGAAAAGGCAUUUAAGAUCUUAUAAGAGGGGGGAGGGUUACCUGUCACGUCCAUGUUCUUGUCAGCAGCACGGAGCUUGGCGCUUUCCAAUGAGGACAAGUCCCCGAGCUUGGCCUUGGCGCGCACGCUAGGAGCCCGGGUCGCCACCGGAGUCGCCCUCGAACGCUUGGCCUUGGUCGCCGGCCCUGGCGCCUCCAGAGCCGCACCCAGCUCUCCUCCCAGCGCAUCAGUCGCCCCCACCGCCUCCUUGCCUACCGUCUUGAUCCCUGGCUUCCUCCCUGCUGUCUUCUUGUUCUGCCGCCCGGAGCCGCUCGACAUCCUCUUGCCCGAGGCCGGGGUAAGGUCAGAAACCUCGCAUCCUGACCCCGAGCCCCCAACGCGCGCUGGAGAGGCAGUCAAAGGGUCUGACUCCUUCGACACCAGCGGCAAGGGCACCGGCUUGAUAGGGACUUGCAGGUUGGAGCCGUAUUGGUCGAAGGACUGAUCGAGUGAACGGGCAAGGGGGGAAAACUCACAGCAGUGUCUUGAGUAGCUAGCACACCCAACUUUUCCCAAGUUUCCGUGUCAAUGGAAGUAUCUGGAAUGCUCUCUUCGGGCUCCUCAUGCAGCUCGCCCAUCUCCACAUCUUGGCCAACCGGGGUCACCCCCGCGCCCGGUGCCACCUGCUGGUGCCCCCUAGCCACAGCGUUGUCCGUUGUCGCAUCCUUAACAACUUGCUUGGAGGGAAUCUUCGCGGCUGGCCCGGGUUUGAGCUUGAGCUGCCCGCCCGCACCAAGCUGGCUUACAGAGAGGGGAGCGGAUGGGCCCGCCCCAGACGCACCACUCCCGUCCCCCAGCCUCCGCGGCAGCCGCUCCACCUCCACCUUGAUCUGGUACCCUUCUUGGUUAAACCACACCUCGACCGUGCCGUUAAGCCUAGCCGGCGACUUGCAAGCCAGUUUCAUCCUCACAGGCCCCAACUUUAUGAGGGAAAGCUCGUCAACCACGAUCGGACGUCCCAGCAUCUUAAAAGCCUCCUUGAUACGCUCAAUCUUGCGAUGUUUCUCAGGGAUCCCGUAGAGCCGCACCCAAGCUUCUGGCAUCACCAUCAGGGGGAUCACCUCUUGCUCCACAUCACGCACCCUAGCAAUGAUAUCGUUGAUAGAAAGGAAGAGCUUGCCACUAGUCCGGGCCAUAUGCAGGAGAUCCGCUGAAGGGAACACGACCAUGAAAUCGUCCUCACCUACUUGGGUGACUUGCCAGUCCCAGUCCCCCGUGACCAUGUGGUUGAGCUCCUGAAUAAGGAUCCGCAGGCUCAGGCGUCCUGGCUCAGCCGAGAGGAUGGCGGCGUUGCCAACAGAGAGCUGCCGAGGACCCUCGGAUUCCUCCUCCUCUUCGAACUGCAGACAGAAGAAGCCUUCCCCAGCAAUAGCGCUACCCAUGAUCUGCAAACAAGGUUGCUGACCCCUCGUCGGGCAGUGCGCAGACGCGUGUCCCUCCUCCUUGCACAACACACACAAAGGCUUGAACUUACACUGCGACUGGAAAUGGCCAAGUCUCCCGCACUUGAAGCAUUCCACCUCCGGGGCCUUCGGCACAUCCUCCACUGGAAUGGGUUCAUCCGCUGUACCCUUCGAUCCAGGGAGGAGCGGCACCGACAGGGGGGCGGAAGCCGCCCUGGGCCUCUUGGCCAGUGGAUCCCCGUGGCCACCACCACAGUUAGGGUGAUCCAUUGGCUUCCGUUCCAACUCCCGCCGCCGCGCCUGCUCCUUCUUCUUCUUCUUUCUCUCCUGCUGCUGGAUCCACCAGGGGGGAGGAGGACCCCAAUCCCCCUCGCGCCCCACUUGCUCUUGGUAGCGGUCGAAUCUACCAAUUUGCCUCGCGCGCGUCUCCUUCGACGCCUUCUCCCGCAGGUCUCUCUCCCGCUUCCGCUCCCCAUCCAGGUCCUGGACCUCCAUCGGCCUCUUCUCCAUGCGCCGAUCGCUCAUCACCGCCGCUGCGAACGAAAUGGGAAGCGAAGGAGGGGGGGUGGGGCGAAUGGAUCUGGCGAGGUGUGCAAGACGCCGCACCUCGUUUCUGAUUGCGGGAAACCCUAGCGAGGGGGUGAGGCAGCCGCGCCGCAGCCAUAUAUAUGAGCCGUGGCUGGGCCAAGACCUAGACAGCGCUGGCGCGGGCCUGAUCGGGCCAGACGGCCUAGUAGAAUCCAAGCCACCGCCCGCAGGCUGAUGUGUGGGCCCCACUAGGCGAGACACACCCUCGACGCUCGUCCCAGGCACGGGGGCCGGCCCACAGCCCACUAGCCCGGCCUCGGCCCCAGGCCCAACAGCGCCAACCCUAGCCUGCGAGGAAACAGGGUCAUCGUCCCCCGCCGACAGCCCUGCCGCCGCCUCCACCUCCUCCGGCCCCUGACCGGCGGCCACCUGCGACGGCAGCCGCGGCCACUCAGCCGCCGAGGCCACUGGAGCGAGCAUCGCGGACGCCGCCCUCGACCGGAUCGCUCGCGCAGCAUCUCCAGGAGACGCCCCCCUGACCGGAGACUGCGAGGGCUGCCAUGCCCGAACUGCGGCGGCGCGCGAUCCCCGGCCACCCGGAGCGAAACGACGGCGCGCCCCAGCUGCGCCGCGCCCCUCGGCAUGCGCGAAGGCGACAAAAUCGCCCAACGACGGGCCCUCGGGCACCGGCCGCCCUGCCUCCGACUCCAGAUCCACACCGACCACAUCCUCCGGCUCCUCUCCUGCCAACGCCCAGAACCUACCUCCUACCGACGCCACCACCGGACCCUCCGCCGCGCCCCGCCGCGACCAAGCCGGGGAGGAGCCAGCACCACUCCUUACCACUUCCCAGCCCUCGCCGGCCGGAGCACUGGGCGACUGGGGCAAGGCGCCCGAGACGUCGCCAGAAGGAGCGCCUAACGGUCUGCUCGUCAUGUCCUCUCUAUGGUCGACCACAGAAAUCCACCUUAGCCCUGACUGAAUACCAGAAUAUAACAGGGAAGGUAAACCAUAAACCAAAUGAUUUCAUAGGAAAUAGAACUGUGAAUCAAGAACCAAACCUUGCCUGAUCUGGUUACCUUCUUUUGUAUACAUGCAUGUAUAAGUUUUCGCCACAAACAAGCACUUUCAUCCAUCAGGAAACAGAAAAAACUAUCUCUCAGACCAUAUGUAAACCCCUCCUCUACUUCCACUUAUCUCGCGAUGAAUAAAGCUGUAGGAACUUGCUAAGAGCUGACCGUGGAAACCAUUUCGUAUUCGCUCGACGGCUUCCGUCUCUUGGAGCAGAGGAAGAAGGCGCCCCCAAGCCACUGCUGAAAGAAGAGAAGCGUGGCCAGCAGGACCACCCCACAAGGUAUGACGAUGUCCCACGCGAGGCUGAAGAGGUCGUCACGAGAGCUCGCGUAGAUGUAGGAUGGCCUCAUGCUGUGCACGAAGUGAUGGGUCCUGUAUGCAUCGUAUGCAUGAGGCAGCGCACGCAGCAUGGUGCCCCCGCCAGAUAUUGCUUUCAGGCGGGAUUUGAUUGGCCCUCAUCUUAUGUCAUGGUAAAAUCUUUUAUACAGAUUGAAUUCGAUUAACCAGACACAAGGACGAGAUGAGUUUCGCUGGAGUCUCACUAUAUCUGGGUCCUUCAUAGUCGACUCGAUGUACCGUGCACUCACGCAUUCAGAGGUUCCAGUGGAUAAUAACAUGAAAAUUUAGAAGUCCAAGAUUUCACUAAAAAUUAAAAUCUUCAUGUGGUAUCUUCGGAGGGGAGUUGUGCUAACCAAAGAAAACCACAUCCGCCGCAACUGACAAGGAAGUAAGAAGUGUAGUUUUUGUGCUCAUGACGAGACAAUUAGACACCGCUUUUUUCAGUGCAUGGUUGUGCUUUCUACAUGGUCAGUCAUCCAAGUAGCGUCUAAUUUGUAUCCGCUGAUAAGUGUAGGCAAUAUUGUUAGUCAUUGGUUGGUCGGGUAUUCCAAAUAGGUUCAAAACGCUAAUAAAGGUGGGAGCGUAUGCCUUGUUAUGGCCGCUUUGGCUAUAUAAAAAUGAUUUGGUUUUUUAUAGCAAAAAAUGCUCUUUUUACAGAUUAUUUUCCGUUGUACGCACUUGCUUCGUAUGUGGUCUAUUCUACAUCAAAUGGAGUGCCAACCGCUGUUUAAGGCGGUGUGUACGCGGUUGGAGCUGGUGGCCAUGAAGAUCAUGCUUUGUAUGCGCUUGAUGUUACAUUUUGAGUUAACAAAUGCACCCUUUAUCGAAAAAAAGAAAAGGAUCUGCGAAUCAAGAACCAAGCCUUGACUGAUCUGGUUUUCCUUCUUUCUUACGCACGCAUGUAUAUUUUUUUCACCACAAACAAGCGCAAAUGUAAGGUAAAUAUCCAUUAGUCUGCUUGUACUUGUUAUCACCCUGAAUUUUUUAACAUUUCGGGCUGGUACGUUACAAGGUCGCCUGGAAUUGUCACGCUAACACUAGUAGCAAAUGUUCCCGAUAAAACUUAAAGCACAAGCAAGGUUCUUCAAAGUUAAAAUCUCUACAUUCGCCCUACGCAUAUACGCAUGUCACUUGUGAGAAAAGUGUGAAUGACCAAAUGGUGGACAGGCUAUGGUGGCACAAUGGGUUGGCCUGCUCGCAUUCCUAGUAAACAGAGUACACAUGAGUUGCUAGCACUUAUUUAACAAGAUACUAAAUUAUGCUAGACUUAGCAGGAUACUAACCCAUCUUAGCAUUGUAGUAGUAGCAUUAAUCUGAGAAAGAAAUGCAUAAAUGCAAGAUCUUACAGGAUCUGGUAAAUAGUUCUGUUGUAUGGUACUCCCUCCGUUCCAAAAUAGAUGACUCAACUUUGUAUACAAAGUUGAGUCAUCUAUUUUGGAACGGAGGGAGUAAUUCUUUGCUCACCCCUCCACUGCCCGGCACCAUGUGCGAUAGCUGCUGUCAUGCCAAGGUAUCACCUUUCGUCAUCCAAGCAGGGCAUAUGUACGGCGGAGGCAUGCAAUGUGCCUUGAUCCCGAUUGAUCAAGCCACUCAUGGUAGAUUCUGCCAACGUCAUGGGCAUAAGCUCUUUGUGGUGCGAGCUGAGAUAGAGGAGUUGAGCUCCUUCCAUGAAUGAUGUAGGUUUUGUCGACGUCAUGAGCAUAAGCUCUUUGUGGUGCGAGCUGAGACAUAGGAGUAGAGCUCCUUCCACGGCACGUAGAUGAUUCGCUAUUUUGGGAUACUCUUCGCAGAAAACGAAUGGUUUCGGAUUGUGCACUAUGAAAGGUGGUCGUGGUAAUAGCCGUUUGAAGAGUCUUUCAAGUUUGAACAAUGAAGAAAUCUUCUGAGAUUCUCCCGAAAGAAGACAUCGUCGAGGCGAGUAAACUAAUGAAUGGUUUAUCCGGGCAAGACAAUGGAGUGGGUAGUUAACAUGUCAGAAAACAGUGCCAAUUGAGUCAGAAGGUGUUGACAAUUGUGUGAAUUUGGUUCUACUUAUUUAGCUCGUUAGCCCUUUUAUGUUGGCUAGCUGUGUUUUCUUAGUGUAGAUAUUGAAGAUCAAAACUUUAGUUUUUUCUAACAAAUAUAUUCCUUGUUUAUUGCUCUUGUAGCCUAAUAGUCUGACCUAGCAGAGGACAAACAAACUCAGAAAGCUCACAUUCGUUUCAAGUUCUCGGUGUCUUUGACCUACCCAAGGAAAAACAAGCACAACUGAUUCGUCGUCUAUUUUAAGGUCCCAUAGGCUCUUACCUACCCAAGGACAAACAAGCUCAGGAGAAUAAUCAUUUGUAAAGUUCUUAUUGCCUACCGACACGAGGAGAAACCAGCACAAAAUUUCAUAGUUUGUUUAAGAUCUCAUAUGCUCUUACCUACUCAAGGACCAAAGCUCAUAACAAAGGAAUCCUUAGUUAUUGGCCUAACCGAGAACCAACGACAUCAUGUCAUUACCUCUACCAUGUACCCAAUUCUGCUCUUCUUCUAUAAAGAGCAGGCCUUCCCUAAGCCAAGCAUGAAUAGCUCACUCUUCUGAUUUCUUUGUACUGGAAUUGGUUAUUCCCAUUUCAUGCUUUAUUUAGUUGGUAUCUGCACACCACGGAUUAGAAUCUGAUAGUUGUUGGCAUGGGAGGCACCAAGAACUAUAGAUGAUCGAUGGGUAACAGGAAUUGCUAGAGUACACAACCCCUAUGCCUCUCACCCCUACUUCACCACACAACCCUCGGUCCUCUCACUUCUACCCCACCACAUCUGAACUAUUUUCCGCGCGGUCAUUGACUGGUGAUAAAUGGACCUGCUAGGUGAAAGGUUACCUCUGGUAAAAUCUAUGUAUUCCGGGGUGGUGGCAUGGCACGGGGAGGCUGGACCUGGAACGAUGGCCGCGGGCGACGAGGCAGCUGUGGGGUGAAGGUUCAUUCUGGGCGGUUGCGUUCGCGUGGCAGCCGCAGUCAGAGGUGAUCUGUAGCAAAAUUUUGGGCGUGAUGUAAAAUUGUUUGGGCACCAUAUACAUACCUAGGGCAUCAGCUGGAGCCCUUUUUCGCCCAAAGUGACUGAAAUGGAAAUUUUGUGGCACGGAGGCUAUUUUUUGUCAUAUGUUGGAGAUAGUAGAUAACUUGAGACUCAAAUUCGGGUGGAGGUGUGCUUUACGUUGGACUGUAUUAAACUGUCACAACGGUAUUGUCCAAAUCAAUGUAUAUGUAGAGCUGAAUAAUAUCUCACAUGGACAAUCGAGUCAAGGAUCUACUGCUAUGAGUAGAAAACAAACAGGUGCAAACAUGCGUACACUACACAGGAUACGCACGAAAACGCAAAGAACACAGAAAGAACAGACCAGAGUUUUCCCCUUUUUUUUAGUGGAAGAACAGAUUAGAUUAAUUUCAAGGAAUUAGUAGCAGAAAUUCACAUGGGCUAGCUGCCUAACAGUACCAUAGGAAAAGGAGCUGAGAAUCAAGAACCAAGCCUUGCCCUGAUCUGGUUUUCCUUCUUUCUACACACGCAUGUAUAACUUUUCGCCACAAACAAGCGCAAAUGUAAGGUAAUCCAUUUAUCACCAAAGUUACCUGUCAAAGAAAAUGCAGUUUCAGUUACCACUCCCAAAUGAUGCAAAGUAGGUGCGUGCACGGUGCCGCGGGUGUCGGCGUUCUGUAUGAAGUUGCCAAUGACCAUGCGCAUGUCGUGCCUGGCGUCAUCGACAGAUAGCGCCACCGUAUUCAUCGAUGCGACGCACAGUGUGUGUGUCCCAAUGACUUUGUUGUUGCAAACGCUGGCGCCAGUGAUCGCCUUGGAUCGUCAGAGGUUCCAAGUCUGUCUCUGAAAGAACCUGAAAGAAUGCCAGGGUGCAGGUUCCUACCAUCUUCCGUUUUCAAGGAUGGAAUGUAGUUUUGUUUAUAGUAGUUUUGAGAUGCCACUGCAUGGAUUUUAUUUUAUUUUGCAUUUUCAUCCCAAAGAUUAGCCGAUCUUAUAUUAACACUUUUUCUUCGGUACAACCUCUUGGCUUCAAACCAGUUUACUAGUGUGGCAGGUAAGUGCUUUCCUGAAAUUCUAUUCUUGGAUUGGAUGGAGAGAACUCUUUAAUCUUCAUGCUGCAUAUUGCUCAAUUUGUUUAGUGAUCUGAGAGAAGUUCUUGCUCCGUCUCUUGAGCCAUCUUCUGGUGCCUUAUACCUGGCAACAAUGUCCUGGGCAGGGUGGCUAUACAAGGUGGCAUUGUUCGUUCCAGUUAGUUUCAUCAAUGCCAAGGAAACCAAUUGCGGACGCAUAGUCAUGCAGCAUGGGUAGAGUAAUUGAGAUGCUCGUGGUAGUUAUUAGUAGUAAAAUUUGCAAAGCUUGUUUUUCAUGUCCCUCCUUAUCACAUUUUUUUCUCUUUUCUUUUCGUUUAGUUUUCUUCUCUUUUUGUGUCUGUGUUUCAUUUUUUUCAUGUAUGUAUCAAGUUUGUUUUGCUUUACUGCGUGCCAUGAUAUAAUAUGGCAUUAUUAGUAGUAAAAUGUGUCAGUCAAUUCUAUUCUACUGGGAACGAGAAGUAGCACCCAAGGCCGAGUCGGGUGAGCCUCAGCCUAAGAUGUGGACGUCAUGGACGGUCACGGCGUCGCCAAUGAGGGAUCAGACGAGAACCGGCCGGAGGCGAGGCAGGGCAGAUAGGGGAGAGAAAUCAGGUUGGAUGCAAUUUCUUAAUUAAAUGAUGUGGCAAUUUUUAUGCCUCUGUUUCGAAAGAAAAGAACUAGGAUGCAAUCGACAUGAUCUGUGCUCCGUCCGUUCUAAUCCAAAAAUGGUUCGAAGAAGAAACAUAUCUUUUCAUUCAUUUUCCGAUCCAACGAUUUGAAUGCAAUUGAUUGAAUUGGAAAAAAAUAAGUCGCCUAAGGUUUAGGCGGUCCUUUUUAAUUAGCCGUUGCAUGUCAGAUAAUCCUAGAGUAAUUGUGAAAGGUGGUUGUGACAGUGCCAGUUCAAACAAUUAUUCAAAUUUAGACAAUAAGGAAAAGGGGAAUCUUUUGAGAUUUUUCCUAAAGUUUAGGCCGCAAAAUAAUAAUCAAGAGAACGUCCUCGAGGUGAAACUUAUGACCGAUUUAUCUGGCCAAGAGACGUGGACGGUCUAAUUAACACAUUGAGUCAGGAAAUACUAUAAAUUAGGCGAAUUUGUACCUCUUUUCUCUUGGCUAAUUGCAUCAUCUUGGGGUACCUCUUUUCUCUUGGCUAAUUGCAUCAUCUUGGGGUAGAGACCGAAGAUGAAUACAUCUAAAGAAACUAAUGAAAUGUAGUGUUUGUUUAAAGCUCUUGUAGCCUAAUAGACUGACCUAGCCGAGGACAAACGAGCUCAGGGCAUUGAUAUUUUCUUUGAAGUUCUCACUGUAUCUGAACUACCAGGAAGAAACAAAUACAACAAAUUUGGUUCUUACCUACUCGAGGACCGAGCUCAUAACCAAGGAAUUCUUAGCUAUUAAAGUGAUGGAAAACCGUUGACUUCAUGUCACUACCUCUACCAUGCACCCCAAGUCUUUUAUAUGGAGUGAUCCUUCCCAAUGUCAAAGAUGAAUAGCUUACUGAUUCCUCGUCUUAUUUCUCUGAAGUGAAAUUAUGGAUUCCUAUUCCAUGCAUUAUUUGUUUCAUAUUUGUACGCUAGGGACUGGAAUAUUGUAGGUGGAGGCAUAGGAGGCACCAGGAACUAUCAAUGAUCAUCGGAUAAUCAAAACAUCAACUCGACACAGCCCUGUUGCAUCUUCCUCCUACUCUACCAUACUUUCUUUCUCUUAGCCGGUCACUGACUGAUGACAAGUGUACUGGCUGGAUCCACCUAGUGCAGUUUCUAAUUUUAGAUUGGGUGGAUCUAAGCAAGCAUCUGUUGAAUCUUCAUUCUUCUCCACCGCAAAAAAAAAAUCUUCAUUCUUCUGGAGCCAAAUUUUUGUUGCCCAAAAUGACCCAAAUGUCUGUUUUUUGUCAUGGAGGCUAUUUUUGGUUAUAUGUUGGAGGUGCUCUUAGUAGAUAGCUUAAGACUCAAAUCCGGGUGGGGGUGUGCUUUACGUUGGAAUCUUUUAAACGGACGCAAUGACAUUUUCCAAACAUGUGUAGAGCUGAGUAAUACUAUGACUCUCACAUGGACCAUUGAGUCAAGGAUCUACUAUACUACGAGUGAGUAGAAAAUAGUAGACAGACGAACAGGUCUCACAUGGUUAUUACUAGUAAAAUUUGCAAAGCUUGUUUUUCAUGUCUCUCCUUAUACAUUUUUUUUAUCUUUUCUUUUUAUUUAGUUUGCUUCUCUUUUUGUGUCUGCAUGUCAUUUUUUCAUGUGUGUAUCUGGUUUGCUUGGCUUUAUUGUGUGUUAUUAGUAGUAAAAUGUGUCAAUCGAUUCUACUCUAUUGGGAACGAGAAGUAGCACCCGAGGCCGAGUCAGGUGAGCCUCAGCCUAAGAUGUGGACGUCCUGGACAGUCAAGGCGUCACCAAUGAGGGAUCGGACCGAGGCGAGGCACAGGAGAUAAGGGAGAGAAAUCAGGUUGGAUGCAAUCUCUUAAUUAAAUGAUGAGGCAAAUUUGAUGGCUCUGUUUCGGAAAAAAAAGUUGGAUGCAAUCGAUUCAAACUGUGCUUUGUUCAUUCUAACCCAGAAAAUGGUUGGAGGAAGAAGAAACAUAUCUGGUCGUUUUCCGAUCGAACGAUUUGAAUGCAAUUGAUUGAAAUUGGAAAACAAUUAAGUCGCCUCAGGUUUAGGCGGUCCUUUUUUUUUAUAGGCGGUCCUUUUUAAUUAGCCGUUGCACAUCAAAGUAAUUGUGAAAGGUGGUCGUGACAGUGCCAGUUCAAAUAAUUAUUCAAAUUUAGACAAUAAGGAAAAGAGGAAUCUUUUGAGAUUUUUCCUAAAGUUUAGUCCGCAAAAUAAUAAUCAAGAGGACGUCCUCGAGGUGAAACUUAUGACCGAUUUAUCUCGCCAAGAGACAUGGAUGGUCUAAUUAACACAUUCAGUCAGAAAAUACUAGUAUCAAUUAGGCGAAAUGUACCUCUUUUCUCUUGGCUAAUUGCAUCAUCUUGGUGUAGAGACCGAAGAUCAAUACUUCUAAAAUAAACUUAUGAAAUGUAGUGUUUGUUUAAAGCUCUUGUAGCCUAAUAGACUGGCCUAGCCGAGGACAAACAAACCCAGGGCAUUGAUCUUUUGUUUGAAGUUCUCAUUGUAUCUGACAUACCCGGGGAGAAACAAACACAACAAAUUUGGCUCUUACCUACUCGGGGACCGAGCUCAUAACCAAAGGAAUUCUUAGCUAUUAAAGUGAUGGAAAACCAAUGACUUCAUGUGACAACCUCUACCCAAGUCUUUUUAUAUGGAGUGAGCCUUCCCAAAGCCAAACACACGAAUCAAUAAUAUCACUACAGAGAAAUAAGACAAGGAAUCGAUAAUAUCACUACAGAGAAAUAAGACAAGGAAUCGAUAUGAAAAGGAAUCAACGAUUCAAGAAACUAUGGAUGGGUAGGAAAACAGUAAACAGAGAGACAGGUCUCGGAUGCAUACACUGCACAGCAAACACACGAAAAAGCAGAGCUCACAUAAAGAACGGAUGCAGAUUAAUUCUAACGAAUUCGCAGACAGAAAUCCACCUGGGCUAUUAGCUAGCCCUGACUGAAUACCAGAAUAACAGGGAAGGUAAACCAUAAACCAAACAAUAGCAUAGGAGAAAGAACUGUGAAUCAAGAACCGAACCUUGCCUGAUCUGGUUUCCUUCUAUUGUAUACAUGCAUGUAUAAGUUUUCGCCGCAAACAAGCGCCAAUGUGGGGUAAAUAUUCAUCCAUCAGGAAACAGAAAAAACUAACUCCCAGACUAUAUGUAAACCCCUCCGCUACUUCCACUUAUCUCGCGAUGAAUAAAGCUGUAGGAACUUGCUAAGAGCUGACCGUGGAAACCAUUUCGUAUUCGCUCGACGGCUUCCGUCUCUUGGAGCAGAGGAAGAAGGCGCCCCCAAGCCACUGCUGAAAGAAGAGAAGCGUGGCCAGCAGGACCACCCCACAAGGUAUGACGAUGUCCCACGCGAGGCUGAAGAGGUCGUCGCGAGAGCUCGCGUAGAUGUAGGAUGGCCUCAUGCUGCGCACAAAGUGAUGGGUCCUGUAUGCAUCAUAUGCAUGAGGCAGCGCACGCAGCAUGGUGCCCCCGAUGUAAAACACUGGGG